Long non-coding RNA from Benincasa hispida (wax gourd), 1243 nucleotides. RefSeq lists it as uncharacterized. Lineage: Eukaryota; Viridiplantae; Streptophyta; Magnoliopsida; Cucurbitales; Cucurbitaceae. The record is from RefSeq and is a predicted model, not a curated record.
CCUCUUCGGAGUUGGAAUGUAGUUUUCCCCCGAGCAAUUGUACCACACCGAUAUGUUCUGAUUGUUGGAAGCGUACGCGAACAGAUGCGCAUCCAUAGUCGCCACUUGGAUUUCAUUUUCUGGGCAGUAAUUCUCGAAUAGUUCAGUUUGAAUUCUUGCCGCCCGCAAGACUUCUGCUUCUUGUUCCCCCAGAAGGGAUACUUGAUGUUUACCAAUUCUCCACAAUUGUAACUCUCACCGCAAACUUCAAAUGCAUCGAGGGCGCCUUCGUUGAAACAUGGUGAAAGAUGAAUCGCGAUGAAGAUUAUGAAGAAGUUGAUCUCGAAUACUUCAACUUUGAUGGUAUUGGAAGAAAGAAAUGGACAUACCAGGUCGAGGAGAAACUAUGCAGACGUAAGGACGAUGCUGAUCUUGGGUUUUGCAAAUGCAGUAAAAUUGUCAGUUGGAUGAAGAGGAAGAAGGCUGGGGUUGUUCAAUGGAUGGAGGUCCGACCAAGUUGGGUUCUGAUGGGAACAGCUCCGUAGACGUAAGGUUGCGCAUCUCCAUUUCCACAAAAGCAGUACAAGCCAUGUGUAGAAUUUCCUCCACACGUGCCACCAUUUUGAAUUCAUUGAUGGCGUCUACGCUGAAAUAUGGGGAAAAGGUGAACAGCGAUGAAGGAGAUCAUGUAAACGUUGCUAAUGGUGAAUGAGGUUUGGAUUCUCAUUUCCUUGAACUACUAAUGCUUCAGAAACAGAGCAUCAAUUCUAACUCGAGCUGAUGCUGAAGUGUCAGAAUUGCAGAGGUUAAAAAAAUAUAGGAGACGACGACUUUUACUUACCACUGCUUUCUUUGAAAUUGCUUUCCUGCUUGCAUUAAAUCAUACCAGCUUUGAACUAUUCAAUUGUUUACUUUACUUCAAGGAAAAAAGAUAUUCAAAUCUUAGUGUCUUCGACCAGGAGAUUUCAGUUGUGCUUGUGUAGGAGUUCCAACAGUAAAUGGAAAGUCUGUUUAUUGCAAUGUGAGCCUUCCCACAGUUAGGAACAGGAUUUUAGAACCUAAUUAUGACUAACCACUAAGCUUGGUUAAAGUAGAAGUUGAACUUCGAAUUAAAGCCAGCUUCAACUUCCUCAAGUGUAGGAUUGAUUAUAGAGCUGUAAAAACCCUUUCAUCCUGCUUAGUAAAUGGCGAUUAUGGCAGAGAUGAUUUUACUGUGAUUUUAAUUUUUACGAAUAAAUAAAUGCACAUAGUGUGAGAGUUUGAA